UUAGUGGCGGACGGGUGAGUAACGCGUGAGGAACCUGCCUUUCAGUGGGGGACAACAGUUGGAAACGACUGCUAAUACCGCAUAAUGUAUUCUGACCGCAUGAUCGGAAUACCAAAGAUUUAUUGCUGAAAGAUGGCCUCGCGUCUGAUUAGAUAGUUGGUGAGGUAACGGCCCACCAAGUCGACGAUCAGUAGCCGGACUGAGAGGUUGAACGGCCACAUUGGGACUGAGAUACGGCCCAGACUCCUACGGGAGGCAGCAGUGGGGAAUAUUGGGCAAUGGGGGAAACCCUGACCCAGCAACGCCGCGUGAAGGAAGAAGGCUUUCGGGUUGUAAACUUCUUUUACCAGGGACGAAGGACGUGGCGGUACCUGGAGAAAAAGCCACGGCUAACUACGUGCCAGCAGCCGCGGUAAUACGUAGGUGGCAAGCGUUGUCCGGAUUUACUGGGUGUAAAGGGCGUGUAGGCGGAGAAGCAAGUCAGAAGUGAAAUCCAUGGGCUUAACCCAUGAACUGCUUUUGAAACUGUUUCCC
Molecule: ribosomal RNA, 534 nt
Filed under: uncultured bacterium
Lineage: Bacteria
Description: bacterial SSU rRNA
Rfam family: Bacterial small subunit ribosomal RNA
Source: RNAcentral